GCUUGGCUGGCUCAGUCGGUAGAGCAUGUGAUUCUUCAUGUCAGGGUGAUGAGUUCAAGCCCCAUGUUGGGCA
This 73-nucleotide transfer RNA is filed under the name Canis lupus familiaris (dog). It matches the Rfam family "tRNA". From Rfam's summary of the family: Transfer RNA (tRNA) molecules are approximately 80 nucleotides in length. Their secondary structure includes four short double-helical elements and three loops (D, anti-codon, and T loops). Lineage: Eukaryota; Metazoa; Chordata; Mammalia; Carnivora; Canidae. The record is from Rfam by way of RNAcentral.